UACGAAGGGGGCUAGCGUUGCUCGGAAUUACUGGGCGUAAAGGGUGCGUAGGCGGAUAGUUUAGUCAGAGGUGAAAUCCCGGGGCUCAACCUCGGAACUGCCUUUGAUACUGGCUGUCUUGAGUAUGGGAGAGGUGUGUGGAACUCCGAGUGUAGAGGUGAAAUUCGUAGAUAUUCGGAAGAACACCAGUGGCGAAGGCGACACACUGGCCCAUUACUGACGCUGAGGCUCGAAAGCGUGGGGAGCAAACAGG
RNAcentral lists this ribosomal RNA (253 nucleotides) under uncultured bacterium. RNAcentral's name for it is "partial 16S ribosomal RNA". It matches the Rfam family "Bacterial small subunit ribosomal RNA", at positions 524 to 776 of the family's 1533-position model. The record is from RNAcentral.